RNAcentral lists this unclassified non-coding RNA (252 nucleotides) under uncultured Frankiales bacterium. RNAcentral's name for it is "contains 16S-23S intergenic spacer region". It matches the Rfam family "Bacterial small subunit ribosomal RNA", at positions 524 to 776 of the family's 1533-position model. Lineage: Bacteria; Bacillati; Actinomycetota; Actinomycetes; Frankiales. The record is from RNAcentral.
UACGUAGGGUGCAAGCGUUGUCCGGAAUUAUUGGGCGUAAAGAGCUCGUAGGCGGCUUGUCACGUCGGCUGUGAAAACCCGAGGCUCAACCUCGGGCCUGCAGUCGAUACGGGCAGGCUAGAGUUCGUUAGGGGAGACUGGAAUUCCUGGUGUAGCGGUGAAUGCGCAGAUAUCAGGAGGAACACCGAUGGCGAAGGCAGGUCUCUGGGCCGAAACUGACGCUGAGGUGCGAAAGCGUGGGGAGCGAACAGG